This 72-nucleotide transfer RNA is filed under the name bacterium. Its description in RNAcentral is "tRNA-Arg". It matches the Rfam family "tRNA". Rfam says of the family: Transfer RNA (tRNA) molecules are approximately 80 nucleotides in length. Their secondary structure includes four short double-helical elements and three loops (D, anti-codon, and T loops). Further hydrogen bonds mediate the characteristic L-shaped molecular structure. tRNAs have two regions of fundamental functional importance: the anti-codon, which is responsible for specific mRNA codon recognition, and the 3' end, to which the tRNAs corresponding amino acid is attached (by aminoacyl-tRNA synthetases). tRNAs cope with the degeneracy of the genetic code in two manners: having more than one tRNA (with a specific anti-codon) for a particular amino acid; and 'wobble' base-pairing, i.e. permitting non-standard base-pairing at the 3rd anti-codon position. The record is from RNAcentral. RNAcentral also lists the same sequence under 1 other name.
GCCUCCGUAGUUCAACGGAUAGAACAGCACACUCCUAAGGUGCGGAUCGAGGUCCGAUUCCUCGCGGAGGCG